Molecule: ribosomal RNA, 330 nt
Filed under: uncultured eukaryote
Lineage: Eukaryota
Description: partial 18S ribosomal RNA
Rfam family: Eukaryotic small subunit ribosomal RNA
Source: RNAcentral
CUCCUAGAUGUUCUGGGCUGCACGCGCACUACACUGAUGGCUAAAACGAGUACCCCGUUCCGGGUCCUGCUUCGAAAGGAGUGGGAAAUCUUCGUAACAGCCAUCGUGACUGGGAUAGAUGAUUGCAAUUAUUUGCCCUGAACGAGGAAUGCCUAGUACAGGCGAUUCAUCAGAUCGCCUGGAUUACGUCCCUGUCAUUUGUACACACCGCCCGUCGUUGCUACCGAUGGUAGUCGAAUAGAGGCAUUGGGAGAGCGCUGUGGUGUUCGCACUUGCAGAGGCUCAAACUUCACCGAUAUUUGACUACUAGAGGAAGCAAAAGUCGUAACA